RNAcentral lists this unclassified non-coding RNA (224 nucleotides) under uncultured Gammaproteobacteria bacterium. Its description in RNAcentral is "contains 16S-23S intergenic spacer region". The record is from RNAcentral. Lineage: Bacteria; Pseudomonadati; Pseudomonadota; Gammaproteobacteria.
UCGCGGCUUAUCACCGGCAGUCCCCUUAGAGUGCCCAACUAAAUGAUGGCAACUAAGGGCGAGGGUUGCGCUCGUUGCGGGACUUAACCCAACAUCUCACGACACGAGCUGACGACAGCCAUGCAGCACCUGUGUUACGGUUCCCUUUCGGGCACCCUCACAUCUCUGCGAGGUUCCGUACAUGUCAAGGGUAGGUAAGGUUUUUCGCGUUGCACAGACUAUAC